AGGCGUUUUUCUCAACACUGGUAAUUUUGGCGGGAGUUUUAGCAUGGUCACUUUUGCAUUGUCCCCAAAAUGAGUAAAAUAGAAUAUCGAGCUGUCAUUAGAUUUCUGUUUUUAAAAAAGAAAUCCAACGAUGAAAUAAAAAAUGAGUUAAUCGAAGUUUAUGGGGAAUCAGCUCCAUCGAUUUCGACCAUUAAAUAUUGGACUGCUGAGUAUAGGCGCGGGCGGACAAGCAUUUUUGACGAGGACCGUCCGGGACGUCCCAGAGAGGUAUAAAAAAAUUGGAGGACCGUUGGACUAAGUGCAUACGUCUAAAAGGAGAUUAUGUU
This is a long non-coding RNA of Drosophila innubila, 326 nucleotides long. RefSeq lists it as uncharacterized. The transcript is spliced from 2 exons. Lineage: Eukaryota; Metazoa; Arthropoda; Insecta; Diptera; Drosophilidae. The record is from RefSeq and is a predicted model, not a curated record.